Non-coding RNA from Rattus norvegicus (Norway rat), 354 nucleotides. The record is from the annotation of a RefSeq genome assembly. Lineage: Eukaryota; Metazoa; Chordata; Mammalia; Rodentia; Muridae.
AUGGCAGGGGUGAGCAGCCAGCAGAAGGUGCAGCAGAGCCCAGAAUCCCUCAUUGUCCCAGAGGGAGCCAUGACGUCUCUCAACUGCACAUUCAGUGAUCGUGCUUCUAACGACUUCAGGUGGUACAGACAGCUUUCUGGGAAAGGCCUUGAGUUGCUGGUGUCCAUCUUCUCCGAUGGUGAAAAAGAAGAAGGCAGAUUCACAGCUCACCUCAAUAUAGCCAGACUGCAAGUCUCUCUACACAUGAGAGACCUGGGGCCCAGUGACUCUGCUGUCUACCUCUGUGCAGUGAGCACACAGUGCUCCCCAGGCACCUGCAUCCUGCACCCAAACCUUGGGCCCCACAAGGCCUGA